RNAcentral lists this ribosomal RNA (296 nucleotides) under uncultured bacterium. Its description in RNAcentral is "partial 16S ribosomal RNA". It matches the Rfam family "Bacterial small subunit ribosomal RNA", at positions 28 to 333 of the family's 1533-position model. The record is from RNAcentral.
GAUAAACGCUGGCGGCGUGCCUAAAACAUGCAAGUCGAACGGCUUACACUUUCGGGUGUAGGUAGUGGCGGACGGCUGAGUAACACGUGGGUGACCUGCCCUCGAGCGGGGGAUAACUGCCCGAAAGGGUGGCUAAUACCGCAGAUGUCAAUGAUUCGGUUCAUUGACUGAACCGUUUAGGGUUCGGGGAGGGGCCCGCGGCCGAUUAGCUAGCUGGUGGGGUAACGGCCUACCAGGGCGUCGAUCGGUAGCGGUCUGAGAGGAUGAUCAGCCAGACUGGGACUGCGAACGGCCCA